CCGAGGCCAAAUGUCUACUUUUUAGCCUCGGUAGCAUAGGAACUGAGGCUAAAAGUCUAAUUCCAAAAUAUAAAUUCGCAAGCGCGCCGCUUUUUCCCCCGACUCCUUUUCUCACUUGCUGUGCGAGCGAGUGAGAGAGAUCUUCGUUCUCUUUCUAGGGUUUUCCCCUGGGAUUUUCACACCUCGAUCGUCCCUCCUUUUUUUUUGCAUAGAAAACCCUAGCUUCGGCUCCUCUUCCUAUACUGAGAUUCUCCAACGCCGCCGCCUGACGCAAUUUCCGCAGAAGCAGCUAAAGCAGAACCCUUCCAUUGCAGCGGAAUCCGUUGCUCCGACUGCAAGAGACCUCCCGCCGGAGGUCUUUGGGAUGGAGACUCCGCCGGAAAGCCUCGGGGUCGGGUUCUCCCAUCCAGAUGUUCAGCAGAUGGUGAUGCUGGAGCUCGGACCCUCUCAAGCAUAAUGCAGAAACUAUCCAAGGGAGACGAACUUGAAAACUCGCAUGAUCGGUAUGAAUUUUCAUUUCUUUAGUCGGUGAUAGGGUUUUUGCUUUGAGAUGAUUGUAGAUUUAGCGUUUCUGAAGGUUUGUGAUUGUUUAUGGGGGUUCAUACAUGCUGUUGAAUUCGAAUUUGAGUGCGGAUUACAAAAAUAGGAAUUCGUUUAAAAUCUAGAUUGUUAAUAUUGUUAGUUUGUUCCCGUGAAUUUGAUAGCACCGAUUUGGGAUACGUCUGUCUCUCACUGAAAACAUGGAGGGCAAAAUUGACUGGCCUCUAGAACGGUCCAAGGCCUAUUUCUUAUUAUAAAAUAAAUAGGCCAAUAUAGAGUGAGCUCUGUUCAGUCCAAAUCAGAUAGUUAGGUUUUUUUUAAUAACUGUUUUCUUAGAGAUCCUCUGCUUGGAGUGAAUUUGGAGAAAAAUGUGGCUUUAAAGUAGGAUGCAGCCCACGGUAGCAUUUCAAAUCCCAACUGUAUAUUUGGAGUGGAUCCACGUCAAGCCUCAUUUGUUUCAGAGAAGAAAAAACCCAUGUUUCUUUCUAAGAAAUGGAGAAAUCUUCUUUGCAGGUGUAAUGCUUGCACAGAAUUCUAUGUCCAAAAGGGCAUUGGCUAUCUAAUUGAUGAGGACUCAAUUGAGGAAUAUGAAAAGGUGGCAAAGGAAAAGAGGAAGGAGAAAUUAGAGCAACAGGAAGGAGUGGAGUUAAAUUUUCUCAGCAAACUUGGUCAUGUCCAAAAGAUUGAGAUUCUGAAUGGCAUUGCUGACAUGAAGAAUGAGCUCAGGUGCAAUCAAAUGCACAGCUAGUGAGAAAAGGGAAGUGCCAUUUUUAGGUCUUCCAUUUAAUUAGUAUUGAGAGUUUGCAGAGUUUUAGAUCAUAAGGAUUUGAAAUCAGUGUUGAUAUUACUUCAGAUUACAGGUAAUGCACUUACAUCUUUUUGAAAAUUUUAUAUCUGGUGCUAUUUGUUAGG
Molecule: long non-coding RNA, 1452 nt
Organism: Magnolia sinica
Lineage: Eukaryota; Viridiplantae; Streptophyta; Magnoliopsida; Magnoliales; Magnoliaceae
Exons: 2
Source: RefSeq, a predicted model, not a curated record